Molecule: long non-coding RNA, 617 nt
Organism: Xiphophorus hellerii (green swordtail)
Lineage: Eukaryota; Metazoa; Chordata; Actinopteri; Cyprinodontiformes; Poeciliidae
Exons: 2
Source: RefSeq, a predicted model, not a curated record
CUUAUUUUUUUAUGUAAGAUCAAAAUGGUCUCAAACAACAAAACCUUUCGUUUGCCUUGAGGCUGCUCCAUAGUUGACACUGUACUGUAAAAGAUCAAGAAUUCUUUGGGCAAAUGCAUCCCAUUGACAGAUUUGUUUCCUCAUAAGGUGCGCCAGUGUCAUUUCGAAACAGUUCCUGUAUCGGUCACGUGACUUGCUGAAAGUAACAUGCGCACCGACACGGGGUUUUGUCUAUGGGCUUGACGCAUGCGCCGACGCAUUGGUGUUGCCGGACCCAUAACUAGUUUUGUGCUGCUGCUGAGCAGUGUGACCCAAAGCUGACUGAUAAGGGCUACAGCGAAACAGUCAAGAAGUGGCUACAUUACACACCAGAGAGAGAGUGAGGCAUAAAGGAACCAACAUGACGCCAACCAGAGUGAAACUUGGGUUACCCCAACGCAUACUGUUUCCCUGGUUCAUACAGCACAAUGCUGUUCUUCCAUGUUGUUCUGACAGUCAAAACGGAGUCAAAUAUGUUUACAGAUCUAUCCCUGUUUUCUUAAAUAAAAUGUUAUAUUAAUGCCAUGUUGUCAUUUUUAAGCUUGUAAACACAUUUUUGGAAAUAUGGUAAUACAAGA